This 711-nucleotide ribosomal RNA is filed under the name Triticum aestivum (bread wheat). Its description in RNAcentral is "partial small subunit ribosomal RNA". The record is from RNAcentral. Lineage: Eukaryota; Viridiplantae; Streptophyta; Magnoliopsida; Poales; Poaceae.
AUGAGCCAACAAAUCCCGUCAACUGGUGUUGGUGGCUCAAGCACUGCCUCAGUAGCAGCACUUGCACCCCCUCAAGUUGUUGAUUCGGAUGACCCUGCGUGGAAGUAUUGCACUCUUCCAGAUGUGAACAAGAAGCAUUGGCAGCGAUGCAACUAUUGUGGCAAGAUAUGCACAGCUGGCAUUACAAGGAUAAAGUUUCACCUUUCACAAAUAACGAAUUGUGGUGUCUUACCAUGCAAGAAGGUUCCUAGUGAUGUCAGGUUGGAGAUGAUAGCUUUGCUCCUAAAGAGUGCUGAGCUGAAGGAAAAAAAGAUUCACAACAGGCUACUCCAUGAUAGGAUGAGUGAUCUUGUAUUUAUCAAGUUCAACUCUAGGAUGAAGCAUAAGAGAGAGAACAAGAGUAGAGACCCAAUAGAGAAGACAAUCGUUGAUGUUCUUGAGGACGAGGAUAACGAGUUCAUCACUGGAAAUGAUAAUGUUGUUGAACAUGUUGGUGAUGAAGAUCAAACUCAACAAGAGAGAGCUUCAACAUCACAAGAACAAGGGAAAAAGAAGAAGAGGCCUACUGCGCCCCCUAGAAAGAAGAGGAAGAAAAGCUUGCAAUCUCUCCUUAAUAGUGUCGAUGAGGAAGCUAUACUUUCUGCCACUUCCAAUUCUUCUACGUCGGAAUCAGAAGAUGAGUCUCCCUCGGCCCUUGCUGACUCAGAUUAA